RNAcentral lists this ribosomal RNA (1303 nucleotides) under Gammarus gregoryi. Its description in RNAcentral is "eukaryotic LSU rRNA". It matches the Rfam family "Eukaryotic large subunit ribosomal RNA", at positions 157 to 898 of the family's 3401-position model. The record is from RNAcentral. Lineage: Eukaryota; Metazoa; Arthropoda; Malacostraca; Amphipoda; Gammaridae.
CUAAGUCAGCCACGAAUAGGCUAUCCCAACUAACGGCGGGAAAGACUCCACGGAGGGUGUAAGACCCGUGUGGGCGCGUGUCAAAGCUGUGCAGGUUCGGCCUCUUUUCCCUGAGAGUCGCGUUGCUUGAGCAUGCAGCGCUAAGCAGGUCGUAAACUCGAUCUAAGGCUAAAUAUGUCCACAGAACCGAUAGCGAACAAGUACCGUGAGGGAAAGUUGAAAAGCACUCUGGAGAGAGAGUCAAAAGACCGUGAAACCGCUCAGAGUAUAAGCCCAUGGCAGCUUGGAAGGCAUGUCGCUAGCGGGGCAUCGGUACUCCCUUCUCCUCGGAGUUGGGAGCUGGUGUUACCUUGCUUCUGUUGUGGCUCGUCACGGUAGGGGGGUCAAGUCCACAUCCCGCCGUCGUGUGGGGAGUUGUUGGGCGUGUUGGGUUUUUCGGUUGACUUCGGUCGGUCGUUUAAGCACUUCGCGCGCGGUUCUCCUUGAUAUACACGGGCGUUCAGACUCAGAGGCAAGACGCGACAACAGCCCACCACGGCACGUUGUGAGGUCACCCACAGGCUCGAUUUAUGAUUGUGGUCCUUGACGCCGAGCAAGCACAAUGCGUGUCGCACAUGUUCCUAACCGGGUGGCAGCGGACAAUCCGCUGCUGUCAGGACUGUGGAAGGACACGCGCUCAAACGUCAGGACCGGGCAUUGGCAGAGUACUGGUACGAUCCUCUUGCGACGAGCCGGCUUCUGGCCGAGUUCCGAUGCUCAGGUCUCCCGCAUGUGCCGCGGGAGAUCGCCUUUGACGGUCUGGAUGCAAAUCCUCUCAGUCGGGCAACGGAUAGAGUGGUGUAAAGUCCAAGCCCAUCGGUCACGUCUCGAAACACGGGCCAAGGAGUAUAGCAUGUGUGCAAGUUUAAGGGUCUCCCAAAACCCGAAGGCAAAGUGAAAGCAAGUAAGCGGCGGGUGACCUAAAUAGAGACCCCGUCUGCUAGAAGGACAUGUCUUGUCGUUGUCGUCGUUGUUGUUGUUGUUGUUGUCGUUCUCCUUCGCGGGGGGGCGGUGGCGGCGGCGGCGGUGGUGGUGAUGGCAGGGCCUCUGUCUUUCCGGCUUUGGCAGAGUUGAUCCUGCAGCGGUAUCGCAGUGGUACGCUCAGGCGCAAACUCCAGGCUCACGUUUCGCACUGGUUCUCGGACUGUGCUGUGAGCACUGUGGAGCAUGCAUGCUAUGACCCGAAAGAUAGUGAACUAUGCUUGGCGAGGGCGAAGCCCCAGGAAACUGGGGUGGAGGCCCGUAGCCGUUGUGACGUGCAAAU